CACACUCUCACCCUGCAGAGUGAGGCGAGGGCCCAGGCGGGCACCAGAUAAAAAAAAACUAGCUCUGAAGAGGUGGCCAUGAUCACCCAGAAAAUAAGAAAUGAAGCCAGAAUUCUGUAUACUACAUUGCUUGGCUCAAGGAUGCAGGCCCAUGGUGGACAGAGCCAGGGUCUUAUCCAUUAAUUGUAUUCU
Pipistrellus kuhlii (Kuhl's pipistrelle) is the source of this 192-nucleotide long non-coding RNA. RefSeq lists it as uncharacterized. The transcript has 2 exons. Lineage: Eukaryota; Metazoa; Chordata; Mammalia; Chiroptera; Vespertilionidae. The record is from RefSeq and is a predicted model, not a curated record.